Molecule: long non-coding RNA, 217 nt
Organism: Aptenodytes forsteri (emperor penguin)
Lineage: Eukaryota; Metazoa; Chordata; Aves; Sphenisciformes; Spheniscidae
Exons: 3
Source: RefSeq, a predicted model, not a curated record
GUCCUGCGGUGGGGUGCCGGAACGAGCUCUGUGUGUCAGUUCUCAUCAUUCACGCACUUCUCCAGGUAAGGGAGCAGCGGUGGGAACGGGUAAGGUCAGCAGCGCAACAGGGAGAAGUCCCGCUCUGGCAGCCGUCAGUAAUGGCCGGGCCCCGACGAUCCCUGGCCCAGCGGCGCCGGGGCUGCGGCUGCACCGAGGGAGGUUUUGGUAGCGGCGG